This 303-nucleotide ribosomal RNA is filed under the name uncultured bacterium. Its description in RNAcentral is "partial 16S ribosomal RNA". It matches the Rfam family "Bacterial small subunit ribosomal RNA", at positions 507 to 808 of the family's 1533-position model. The record is from RNAcentral.
AGCAGUCGCCGCGGGAAUACGGAGGAUCCAAGCGUUAUCCGGAAUCAUUGGGUUUAAAGGGUCCGUAGGCGGUCUUGUAAGUCAGUGGUGAAAGCCCAUCGCUCAACGGUGGAACGGCCAUUGAUACUGCAGGACUUGAAUUAUUGGGAAGUAACUAGAAUAUGUAGUGUAGCGGUGAAAUGCUUAGAGAUUACAUGGAAUACCAAUUGCGAAGGCAGGUUACUACCAAUUGAUUGACGCUGAUGGACGAAAGCGUGGGUAGCGAACAGGAUUAGAUACCCCGUAGUCCCUGUCUCUUAUACA